Molecule: long non-coding RNA, 427 nt
Filed under: Salmo trutta (river trout)
Lineage: Eukaryota; Metazoa; Chordata; Actinopteri; Salmoniformes; Salmonidae
Description: lncRNA (ENSSTUG00000039998.1)
Source: RNAcentral
AUGUAGCACUGCUGAUGUUACGGUUAGUUGUUUGUUUCCUUUUGUAAGUUUCACUAAGUAAAAUAUGUGGAACUCAGAGCAUGCUGCGCCUUGGUCCGUCUUGCCACACAUCUGUGGCAGUAGCAAUGUAAUACCCAUCUUCGUUCAAAGUACAGCAUAGACAAUCAGUGACGUUAUUCUGCCUUCCGGAAUAGGGAAGUCACAUUUCUGUGAGCAAACCAACAAGUUACAGAAAAUGGAGAAGAUCCUGCUAGUGCUGGUACUAAUCUCCAGAGUGUCUCUCACAGUCUUGCAAUGGAAAGCAAGUUGGUCAGGAGGGCAAACUGAGAUGACCAUGGGAUUAAGAAUGCUGACAUCAUCCGGUGGGAAUCGCAGCUGGCCUGCUGGGACAGGGGCACAUCAGACAUGGAAGCACGUUACAAUAUAA